Molecule: ribosomal RNA, 253 nt
Filed under: uncultured bacterium
Lineage: Bacteria
Description: partial 16S ribosomal RNA
Rfam family: Bacterial small subunit ribosomal RNA
Source: RNAcentral
UACGAAGGGGACUAGCGUUGUUCGGAAUCACUGGGCGUAAAGCGCACGUAGGCGGAUUCGUAAGUCAGGGGUGAAAUCCCGGGGCUCAACCUCGGAACUGCCUUUGAUACUGCGGGUCUUGAGUCCGAUAGAGGUGGGUGGAAUUCCUAGUGUAGAGGUGAAAUUCGUAGAUAUCGGGAGGAACACCGGUGGCGAAGGCGGCGACCUGGGUUGAUAUUGACGCUGAGGCGCGAAAGCGUGGGGAGCAAACAGG